UAUCCCUGGCCUGGGUAAGUUGCUCCUGGUGUGAUGGUGCUUAUCUCAUAUCAAUCAGGGACAAAGUAACUCGCAGUUUAGCCCAGCUCGGCUUUCAGUCUAUGCCUGUGCCUGGUUCAUGUCCUGGACACAACU
This is a small nucleolar RNA of Phyllostomus discolor (pale spear-nosed bat), 135 nucleotides long. RefSeq annotates it as small nucleolar RNA SNORA48. The record is from RefSeq and is a predicted model, not a curated record. The transcript has a single exon. Lineage: Eukaryota; Metazoa; Chordata; Mammalia; Chiroptera; Phyllostomidae.